UACGUAGGGUGCAAGCGUUGUCCGGAAUUAUUGGGCGUAAAGAGCUCGUAGGCGGUCUGUCGCGUCGGCUGUGAAAACCCGGAGCUCAACUCCGGGCCUGCAGUCGAUACGGGCAGACUGGAGUUCGGCAGGGGAGACUGGAAUUCCUGGUGUAGCGGUGAAAUGCACAGAUAUCAGGAGGAACACCGGUGGCGAAGGCGGGUCUCUGGGCCGUAACUGACGCUGAGGAGCGAAAGCGUGGGGAGCGAACAGG
This 253-nucleotide ribosomal RNA is filed under the name uncultured bacterium. RNAcentral describes it as "partial 16S ribosomal RNA". It matches the Rfam family "Bacterial small subunit ribosomal RNA", at positions 524 to 776 of the family's 1533-position model. The record is from RNAcentral.